Non-coding RNA from Pelobates cultripes (western spadefoot toad), 332 nucleotides. The record is from the annotation of a GenBank genome assembly. NCBI's taxonomy places the organism in Eukaryota, Metazoa, Chordata, Amphibia, Anura, Pelobatidae.
ACUAAAUAUUUUUGAUAUAGUAAUCAUUUCAGCAAGUAUUGAAAGGAAAUAAAAAAUGAAAAAAACUCAUCACUACGUUUAGAAUAUGACAGUUUGUGAAGCAAGUCUGUACUUCACAACCAGGGAUAUGCAGGAGAUGUGUGUUACAGUAGCUGGAAACAUGAUUGAUGGUUUUAGAAGGAGUCAGGGGUAAUGAAUAAUGAAUAAGAAACAAUUAAUUGUAUAACAUGAGUCAAGCCAGAUGGUUAGAAAACUGCAAACCGGUAUCUGACAUGACAGGUUCUCUUUAAGAAGACACUAAGACACACUUAUCUUUUCUUCAUUUUGUUAUA